RNAcentral lists this transfer RNA (73 nucleotides) under Candidatus Omnitrophota bacterium. RNAcentral describes it as "tRNA-Ala". It matches the Rfam family "tRNA". From Rfam's summary of the family: Transfer RNA (tRNA) molecules are approximately 80 nucleotides in length. The record is from RNAcentral. Lineage: Bacteria; Pseudomonadati; Candidatus Omnitrophota.
GGGGCUGUAGCUCAGAUGGGAGAGCACUUCCAUGGCAUGGAAGGGGUCGAGGGUUCGAAUCCGUCCAGCUCCA